RNAcentral lists this ribosomal RNA (916 nucleotides) under Trichophyton interdigitale. Its description in RNAcentral is "LSU rRNA". It matches the Rfam family "Eukaryotic large subunit ribosomal RNA", at positions 38 to 964 of the family's 3401-position model. Lineage: Eukaryota; Fungi; Ascomycota; Eurotiomycetes; Onygenales; Arthrodermataceae. The record is from RNAcentral.
GCAUAUUCAAUAAGCGGAGGAAAAGAAACCAACAGGGGAUUGCCCCAGUAACGGCGAAGUGAAGCGGCAAGAAGCUCAAAUUUGAAAUCUGGCCUCCCCCGGGGGCCCGAGUUGUAAUUUGCAGAGGAUGCUUCGGGUGCGGCCGCCGUCUAAGUUCCUUGGAACAGGACGUCAGAGAGGGUGAGAAUCCCGUCUUGGGCGGGCGGUCCGCGCCCGUGUGAAGCUCCUUCGACGAGUCGAGUUGUUUGGGAAUGCAGCUCUAAGCGGGUGGUAAAUUUCAUCUAAAGCUAAAUAUUGGCCGGAGACCGAUAGCGCACAAGUAGAGUGAUCGAAAGGUUAAAAGCACCUUGAAAAGGGAGUUAAACAGCACGUGAAAUUGUUGAAAGGGAAGCGCUUGCGGCCAGACUCGGGGGCGGGGUUCAGCGGGUGCUCGUCGCCCGUGUAUUCCUCGUCUCCCGGGCCAGCAUCAGUUUCGACGGCCGGUCAAAGGCCCCCGGAAUGUGUCGUCUCUCGGGACGUCUUAUAGCCGGGGGUGCAAUGCGGCCCGUCGGGACUGAGGAACGCGCUCCGGCUCGGAUGCUGGCGUAAUGGCCGUAAGCGGCCCGUCUUGAAACACGGACCAAGGAGUCUAACAUCCACGCGAGUGUUCGGGUGUCAAACCCGUGCGCGCAGUGAAAGCGAACGGAGGUGGGAGCCUUAGGGCGCACCAUCGACCGAUCCUGAAGUCUUCGGAUGGAUUUGAGUAGGAGCGUGGCCGUUGGGACCCGAAAGAUGGUGAACUAUGCCUGAAUAGGGUGAAGCCAGAGGAAACUCUGGUGGAGGCUCGCAGCGGUUUCUGACGUGCAAAUCGAUCGUCAAAUUUGGGCAUAAGGGGCGAAAAGACUAAUCGAACCAUCUAGUAGCUGGUUCUUGCCGA